This 253-nucleotide ribosomal RNA is filed under the name uncultured bacterium. Its description in RNAcentral is "partial 16S ribosomal RNA". It matches the Rfam family "Bacterial small subunit ribosomal RNA", at positions 524 to 776 of the family's 1533-position model. The record is from RNAcentral.
UACGAAGGGGGCUAGCGUUGCUCGGAAUCAUUGGGCGUAAAGCGCGUGUAGGCGGCUUCGUAAGUCCGUUGUGAAAGUCCAGGGCUCAACCCUGGAAUGCCGAUGGAUACUGCGGAGCUAGAGUCCGGAAGAGGCGAGUGGAAUUCCUGGUGUAGCGGUGAAAUGCGCAGAUAUCAGGAGGAACACCAAUGGCGAAGGCAGCUCGCUGGGACGGUACUGACGCUGAGACGCGAAAGCGUGGGGAGCAAACAGG